GGCCAUAGCUCAGUGGUAGAGCAACUGCCUUGCAUGCAGAAGAUCCUGGGUUCGAUCCCUGACAUCUCCA
Non-coding RNA from Podarcis lilfordi (Lilford's wall lizard), 70 nucleotides. NCBI's taxonomy places the organism in Eukaryota, Metazoa, Chordata, Lepidosauria, Squamata, Lacertidae. The record is from the annotation of a GenBank genome assembly.